GAAAUGCGAUAAUUAAUGUGAAUUGCAGAAUUCAGUGAAUCAUCGAGUCUUUGAACGCACAUUGCGCCCCCUGGUAUUCCGGGGGGCAUGCCUGUCCGAGCGUCAUUGCUGCCCUCAAGCACGGCUUGUGUGUUGGGCUUCCGUCCCUGGCAACGGGAACGGGCCCAAAAGGCAGUGGCGGCACCAUGUCUGGUCCUCGAGCGUAUGGGGCUUUGUCACCCGCUCCCGUAGGUCCAGCUGGCAGCUAGCCUCGCAACCAAUCUUUUUAACCAGGUUGACCUCGGAUCAGGUAGGGAUACCCGCUGAACUUAAGC
Molecule: unclassified non-coding RNA, 314 nt
Filed under: plant metagenome
Description: partial contains 5.8S ribosomal RNA, internal transcribed spacer 2, and large subunit ribosomal RNA
Rfam family: 5.8S ribosomal RNA (bases 1-105)
Source: RNAcentral